UCCGAUCGUGUUGUCCCAAGUAGCGCGGGCCUCGUGGAAUCCCGCGUGAAUCAGCCCAGACCGUUGGGUAAGUCUAAGCAUACCUGUCUGACCGAUAGCGUACCAGUACCGUGAGGGAAAGGUGAAAAGCACCCCGGGAGGGGAGUGAAACAGUUCCUGAAACCGUGCGCCCACAAACCGUCGGAGCCUCCUUGUGGGGUGACGGCGUGCCUAUCGAAAAAUGAGUCUGCGAGUCAGUGGCGGGUGGCGAGCAUAAGCCGUGUGGCGUAUGCGUAGCGAAAGCGAGUCUUAAAAGGCGUUUUUAGUCGCUUGUCCUGGACCCGAAGCGGGAUGAUCUAGCCCUGGGCAGGUUGAAGCGCGGGUAAGACCGCGUGGAGGACCGAACCCACCUGGGUUGAAAACCGGGGGGAUGACCUGGGGCUAGGGGUGAAAGGCCAAUCAAAUUCCGUGAUAGCUGGUUCUCUCCGAAAUGCAUUUAGGUGCAGCGUCGGUCGAUUGCGUCGCGGGGGUAGAGCUACCGGAUGCUUGCGGGCCCUUGUUGGGUACCAACAGCAGCCGAACUCCGAAUACCGUUGACGUGUAUUCCGGCAGUGAGUCGGCGGGGGAUAAGCUCCGUCGUCGAGAGGGAGACAGCCCAGACCGUCGUCUAAGGUCCCGAAGCGUGUGCUAAGUGGGAAAGGAUGUGGAGUCGCAUAGACAGCCAGGAGGUUGGCUCAGAAGCAGCCAUCCUUGAAAGAGUGCGUAACAGCUCACUGGUCUAGUGGUUCCGCGCCGACAAUGUAGCGGGGCUCAAGCACACCACCGAAGACGCGGCAGCAAUCUUCAUGGUUGCUGGGUAGGAGAGCGUCCUGCAUGGGGCGAAGCGGCCGGGUAACCGUGCCGUGGACCGUGUGGGAGUGAGAAUGCAGACAUGAGUAGCGAGAGACGGGUGAGGAUCCCGUCCGCUGGAUGACCAAGGGUUCCGGGGCCACGUUCGUCGUCCCCGGGUGAGUCGGGUCCUAAGGCGAGGCCGACAGGCGUAGUCGAAUGGAUGAACGGGUGGAUAUUCCCGUACCGACCAUGGACCGGCAAAACCGAGACGGUGAGUACUAACCUCCGCCUCGUGGUGGUUCCUUCCUUCGGGUUGGUGUCGCCGCGUGGUGUUGGGACUGUAGCCGCAGUAGGUCAGCGCAGGGGUGACACGGAAUGGGAGCCGGCCGCGGAGGUGGUUUUCCGUGGUCAAGCACGCAGCCAGUCAUGUAGGCAAAUCCGCAUGGCGUGCAUGGCGAGGUGUGAUGAUGGGAGCCGUUAUGGCUCGAUAUCCGGUUGUCCAGGCCGUCGAGAAAAGCCUCGGCGUGAGGGCCAUGGCCGCCCGUACCCCAAACCGACACUGGUGGUCAGGUAGAGAAUACCAAGGCGAUCGAGCGAAUCCUGGUCAAGGAACUCGGCAAAUCACUCCCGUGCCUUCGGUAUAAGGGAGACCCGCUGGGGUGAACCGGCUAGCCCGGGGAGCUUUGGUGGGUGGCACAGACCAGGGGGUAGCGACUGUUUACCAAAAACACAGGUGCAUGCGAAGGCGAAAGCCGCUGUAUAUGCACUGACGCCUGCCCGGUGCCGGAAGGUUAAGAGGAUCCGUCAGUCCUUCGGGAUGAAGCGGUGAAUUCAAGCCCCGGUAAACGGCGGUGGUAACUAUAACCAUCCUAAGGUAGCGAAAUUCCUUGUCGGGUAAGUUCCGACCUGCACGAAUGGCGUAACGACUUCCCCACUGUCUCGACCAGGAGCUCGGCGAAAUUGCAGUACGAGUAAAGAUGCUCGUUAAGCGCAGAAGGACGAAAAGACCCCGGGACCUUUACUAUACCUUGGUAUUGGCGUUAGGCGCGGAUUGUGUAGCAUAGGCGGGAGGCUUCGAAGCGUGGGCGCCAGCUCAUGUGGAGCCGCAAGGUGAAAUACCGCUCUGUUCUCGUUUGACGUCUAACCUCGACAAGUCAUCCUUGUCAGGGACAGUGCCUGGCGGGUAGUUCAACUGGGGCGGUUGCCUCCCAAAGAGUAACGGAGGCGCUCAAAGGUCCGCUCAGCCCGGUUGGCAAUCGGGUGUCGAGUGUAAUCGCACAAGCGGGCUUGACUGCGAGGACGACGGUCCGAGCAGGGACGAAAGUCGGAGAUAGUGAUCCGGUGCCGGCGCACGGGCGCGGCAUCGCUCAACGGAUAAAAGGUACCCCGGGGAUAACAGGCUGAUCAUUCCCAAGAGUCCAUAUCGACGGGAUGGUUUGGCACCUCGAUGUCGGCUCGUCGCA
RNAcentral lists this ribosomal RNA (2273 nucleotides) under human gut metagenome. RNAcentral describes it as "bacterial LSU rRNA". It matches the Rfam family "Bacterial large subunit ribosomal RNA", at positions 393 to 2544 of the family's 2925-position model. The record is from RNAcentral.